Molecule: ribosomal RNA, 559 nt
Filed under: uncultured bacterium
Lineage: Bacteria
Description: partial 16S ribosomal RNA
Rfam family: Bacterial small subunit ribosomal RNA
Source: RNAcentral
UGGGGAAUUUUGGACAAUGGGGGAAACCCUGAUCCAGCCAUCCCGCGUGUGCGAUGAAGGCCUUCGGGUUGUAAAGCACUUUUGGCAGGAAAGAAACGUCGUGGGUUAAUACCCCGCGAAACUGACGGUACCUGCAGAAUAAGCACCGGCUAACUACGUGCCAGCAGCCGCGGUAAUACGUAGGGUGCAAGCGUUAAUCGGAAUUACUGGGCGUAAAGCGUGCGCAGGCGGUUCGGAAAGAAAGAUGUGAAAUCCCAGAGCUUAACUUUGGAACUGCAUUUUUAACUACCGGGCUAGAGUGUGUCAGAGGGAGGUGGAAUUCCGCGUGUAGCAGUGAAAUGCGUAGAUAUGCGGAGGAACACCGAUGGCGAAGGCAGCCUCCUGGGAUAACACUGACGCUCAUGCACGAAAGCGUGGGGAGCAAACAGGAUUAGAUACCCUGGUAGUCCACGCCCUAAACGAUGUCAACUAGCUGUUGGGGUCUUCGGACCUUGGUAGCGCAGCUAACGCGUGAAGUUGACCGCCUGGGGAGUACGGUCGCAAGAUUAAAACUCAAAGG